CGGGAGCCGGCAGGAAGAGGCUUGCUGCCCGUCCCGGAACCAGAGACGGGGCAGCGCUCGAGUUCCUGCGCGGCACUGCCAAGGCACGACAACGGGCCAGAAGGCUGCCAGGCUCAGUGGGCAAGCGAAGAAAUCAACCACCGCUACACGGGCGCUUGGGGGCGGGGCCCGAGUGCGAACCCGAGCCCCAAAUCCCGACCCAGGCAGGGGCGGGGCCCGGGGCGGGGCCUUGGAGGACCAGCCCGCGCGGCAACGUCUCCGCGCGGCGUCUCGACAACCACUGACAGCCACCCGCCAUGGCCGCAGACCAGCGCUCGAAGGCCGACACCCUGGCCCUGAGGCAGCGGCUCAUCAGCUCUUCCUGCAGACUCUUUUUUCCCGAGGAUCCUGUUAAGAUUGUCCGGGCCCAAGGGCAGUACAUGUACGAUGAACAGGGGGCAGAAUACAUCGACUGCAUCAACAAUGUGGCUCACGUCGGGCACUGCCACCCUCUCGUGGUCCGAGCAGCACAUGAACAGAACCAGGUGCUCAACACCAACAGCCGGUACCUGCACGACAACAUUGUGGACUAUGCGCAGAGGCUGUCGGAGACGCUGCCAGAGCCGCUCUGUGUGUUCUAUUUCCUGAAUUCCGGGUCAGAAGCCAAUGACCUGGCCCUGAGGCUGGCUCGCCACUACACAGGACACCAGGACGUGGUGGUAUUAGACCAUGCGUAUCACGGCCACCUGAGCUCCCUGAUUGACAUCAGUCCCUACAAGUUCCGCAACCUGGAUGGCCAGAAGGAGUGGGUCCACGUGGCACCUCUCCCAGACACCUACCGGGGCCCCUACCGGGAGGACCACCCCAACCCAGCUGUGGCCUAUGCCAACGAGGUGAAACGUGUGGUCAGCAGUGCACAGGAGAAGGGCAGGAAGAUUGCAGCCUUCUUCGCUGAGUCUCUGCCCAGUGUGGGAGGGCAGAUCAUUCCCCCUGCUGGCUACUUCUCCCAAGUGGCAGAGCACAUCCACAAGGCCGGAGGGGUCUUUGUUGCAGAUGAGAUCCAGGUUGGCUUUGGCCGAGUAGGCAAGCACUUCUGGGCCUUCCAGCUCCAGGGAAAAGACUUUGUCCCUGACAUCGUCACCAUGGGCAAGUCCAUUGGCAAUGGCCACCCUGUUGCCUGUGUGGCCACAACCCAGCCUGUGGCGAGGGCAUUUGAAGCCACCGGCGUUGAGUACUUCAACACGUUUGGGGGCAGCCCAGUGUCCUGCGCUGUGGGGCUGGCCGUCCUGAAUGUCCUGGAGAAGGAGCAGCUCCAGGCUCAUGCCACCAGUGUGGGCAGCUUCCUGAUGGAGCUCCUCAGGCAGCAAAAAAUCAAACAUCCCAUCGUCGGGGAUGUCAGGGGCGUUGGGCUCUUCAUUGGUGUGGAUCUGAUCAAAGAUGAGGCCACAAGGACACCAGCAACUGAAGAGGCUGCCUACUUGGUGUCAAGUACCCUGGGGGUGCUUUUCCAGUUCAGUGAGGAAAUGGGUAAGUCACCUGCAGUCACCCUGCUAGGUGGCAAGAGCUCAAUCUGGCCCCAGGGCCGUCUAACUCCAAAGUCCAAGCCCUGUCCUUUCUGGCAUGGCCAUGGUCAGUGCCAGAAAGACUGGGAUAGGAAAAUGAAACCAGAAGGUAGACUCCCAACCCCCAAGAAAUAAAAAUAACAAGGGUUUACAAAAGAAUGGGAACAAGGAUCAAAGAAUAUAAGCACAACCAUGCAGACCCCUCGUCUCAAAGAUGAGGUUAGACUGUGGACUAAAAGUGAUUAUUAGCUAUAAACGAUGCUAAGAUAAAGCCAUCUUCCUAAGAAGAGGUGGAAAUUUUCAACUGGAAUUUUAAGAUAACCCGGAGGACAGUCCAGGGAGAUUCCUGAAGCUCGUGAGGGACAUGUGGGGCCCAUUACACCAACUGCAAUGUUGGGCAUUAUCUAUAUAAGAAAACAAUACACAUCAUGUCAACCACACAGAAAACCAGAGAAUGCAGGGACUCUUGUUGCAGUCUGCUGUUUCCCUGUGGCCAUUCAUUCUUGGCUUCGACUGUGGCUCCAGGGGUUAGGUGAGACAAGGUGCCUGUUCUGGGGGGCAGCAGGCUCAGGACCAGGUGCAGUGCACCCCAAGCAGGGGCUGCUGUGGGCCAGAUGCACAGGACCUUGGUAGGGGUGACCGGUAGUGUCUGGCAGGAACUGGCCCAUGGAAGGCUCUGAAGGCAGUGUGGCCGGAGCACUGGACGUGAGGCCAAGGCCAGGCUGAGGAAGGCCAGGAAGGCCUUGAAGGCCACGUGAAGGGGUGUCCUGUCCUCACAGGCUGAAGGAGAACUACGUUUUGCUGAGCACUGAUGGCCCUGGGAGGAACAUCCUGAAGUUUAAACCCCCAAUGUGCUUCAGCCUGGACAAUGCACGGCAGGUGGUGGCAAAGCUGGAUGCCAUUCUGACUGACAUGGAAGAGAAGGUGC
RNA transcript from Piliocolobus tephrosceles (Ugandan red Colobus), 2469 nucleotides. It is a transcript of the gene named 5-phosphohydroxy-L-lysine phospho-lyase, with no coding region annotated. Lineage: Eukaryota; Metazoa; Chordata; Mammalia; Primates; Cercopithecidae. The transcript is spliced from 12 exons. The record is from RefSeq and is a predicted model, not a curated record.